RNAcentral lists this ribosomal RNA (569 nucleotides) under Sarocladium oryzae. RNAcentral describes it as "partial 28S ribosomal RNA". It matches the Rfam family "Eukaryotic large subunit ribosomal RNA", at positions 73 to 668 of the family's 3401-position model. The record is from RNAcentral. Lineage: Eukaryota; Fungi; Ascomycota; Sordariomycetes; Hypocreales; Sarocladiaceae.
AUGCCUCAGUACGGCGAGUGAAGCGGCAACAGCUCAAAUUUGAAAUCUGGCCGCAAGGUCCGAGUUGUAAUUUGCAGAGGAUGCUUUUGGCGAGGUGCCUUCCGAGUUCCCUGGAACGGGACGCCAUAGAGGGUGAGAGCCCCGUACGGUUGGACCACCGAGCCUCUGUAAAGCUCCUUCGACGAGUCGAGUAGUUUGGGAAUGCUGCUCUAAAUGGGAGGUGUACGUCUUCUAAAGCUAAAUACCGGCCAGAGACCGAUAGCGCACAAGUAGAGUGAUCGAAAGAUGAAAAGCACUUUGAAAAGAGGGUUAAAAAGUACGUGAAAUUGUUGAAAGGGAAGCGUUUAUGACCAGACUUGGGCUUGGUUGAACAUCCGGCGUUCUCGCCGGUGCACUCUGCCAGUCCAGGCCAGCAUCAGUUUGUCCCGGGGGAUAAAGGCGGUGGGAAUGUGGCUCCCCCGGGAGUGUUAUAGCCCGCCGUGCAAUGCCCUGGGACGGACUGAGGAACGCGCUUCGGCACGGAUGCUGGCGUAAUGGUCAUCAACGACCCGUCUUGACACCCCGGACCA